GUGGCAGGUGUGUGUAAUGAUGAGUGAACUGGUGACCUCGAGCACCGGAGAGGGAGAGCGGGAGUAGACUUGACAAGUAACUACUACAUUAUUUCUAAAUCCUAUACCAGACACAAGAUAUGACACAAAUAAUAAUAAUAAUAUUUAAUUUGUAAAGUGCAUUUCCCACACUCAAUAUGCAUAAAUGAUAAAUGAUAUAUAACAAAUGAUAAAUGAUAUAUGCCUGUAAUAUUUUCCUUAAACAGAAGGAGUCCUGAGCCCUUGGGUUCAGAAGGUGUGUCAGGCAUGGGAUCGGAUGUUCAUCACUCUCCAACUGAUCGUCCAGGAGAUGAGGCACUGUACAGUGUAAUAACUAGAGUGGAAAGACCAGAACAGCAGGGUGAAACUGACAUCUAUGCCAAAGUGACCAAA
Coregonus clupeaformis (lake whitefish) is the source of this 411-nucleotide long non-coding RNA. RefSeq lists it as uncharacterized. NCBI's taxonomy places the organism in Eukaryota, Metazoa, Chordata, Actinopteri, Salmoniformes, Salmonidae. The transcript has 4 exons. The record is from RefSeq and is a predicted model, not a curated record.